Molecule: ribosomal RNA, 305 nt
Filed under: uncultured bacterium
Lineage: Bacteria
Description: bacterial SSU rRNA
Rfam family: Bacterial small subunit ribosomal RNA
Source: RNAcentral
CGUUCCUACGGGACGCAGCAGUAGGGAAUAUUGCACAAUGGGGGAAACCCUGGUGCAGCGACGCCGCGUGAAGGAUGAAGUAUUUCGGUAUGUAAACUUCUAUCAGCAAGGAAGAAAAUGAUGGUACUUGACUAAGAAGCCCCGGCUAAAUACGUGCCAGCAGCCGCGGUAAUACGUAGGGGGCAAGCGUUAUCCGGAUUUACUGGGUGUAAAGGGAGCGUAGACGGUGCAGCAAGUCUGAUGUGAAAGGUCGGGGCCCAACCCCGGGACUGCAUUGGAAACUGUUGAACUAGAGUACAGGAGAG